This 332-nucleotide unclassified non-coding RNA is filed under the name soil metagenome. Its description in RNAcentral is "partial contains 5.8S ribosomal RNA, internal transcribed spacer 2, and large subunit ribosomal RNA". The stretch from base 1 to 120 matches the Rfam family "5.8S ribosomal RNA", at positions 35 to 154 of the family's 154-position model. The record is from RNAcentral.
GAUGAAGAACGUAGCAAAAUGCGAUAAGUAAUGUGAAUUGCAGAAUUCAGUGAAUCAUCGAAUCUUUGAACGCACAUUGCGCCCGCCAGUAUUCUGGCGGGCAUGCCUGUUCGAGCGUCAUUUCAACCCUCAAGCACAGCUUGGUGUUGGGAAUCGCGUUAAUUCGCGUUCCCCAAAUUGAUUGGCGGUCACGUCGAGCUUCCAUAGCGUAGUAGUAAAACCCUCGUUACUGGUAAUCGUCGCGGCCACGCCGUUAAACCCCAACUUCUGAAUGUUGACCUCGGAUCAGGUAGGAAUACCCGCUGAACUUAAGCAUAUCAAUAAGCGGAGGA